Molecule: RNase P RNA, 381 nt
Filed under: Haloechinothrix alba
Lineage: Bacteria; Bacillati; Actinomycetota; Actinomycetes; Pseudonocardiales; Pseudonocardiaceae
Description: Pseudonocardineae bacterium YIM 93221 Bacterial RNase P class A
Rfam family: Bacterial RNase P class A
About the family: Ribonuclease P (RNase P) is a ubiquitous endoribonuclease, found in archaea, bacteria and eukarya as well as chloroplasts and mitochondria. Its best characterised activity is the generation of mature 5'-ends of tRNAs by cleaving the 5'-leader elements of precursor-tRNAs.
Source: Rfam by way of RNAcentral
CGAGUCGGCAGGGCGACCGCGAGGAGUGAUCCUCGAGGAAAGUCCGGACUCCACAGGGCAGGGUGGUUGCUAACGGCAACCCGGGGCGACCCGAGGGAUCAGUGCCACAGAAAACAGACCGCCGCUCCGUGCGAGCGGUAAGGGUGAAACGGUGGUGUAAGAGACCACCAGCACCCCGGGUGACCGGGGUGGCUAGGUAAACCCCACCCGGAGCAAGGCCAAGAGGGAGCGUGUCGCUCCUGCGCAGGCGUUCGAGGGUUGCCCGCCCGAGGCCUGCGGGUAGGCCGCUGGAGCCUGCCGGCAACGGCAGGCCUAGAUGGAUGGUCGCCACCGUGACCGUUGGUCACGGGACAGAAUCCGGCUUACAUGCCGGCUCGCCCC